Molecule: long non-coding RNA, 379 nt
Organism: Nicotiana tabacum (common tobacco)
Lineage: Eukaryota; Viridiplantae; Streptophyta; Magnoliopsida; Solanales; Solanaceae
Source: RefSeq, a predicted model, not a curated record
AUUUCUUGGAAGGUAUUAAGGAAUCAACGGAGUUAAGCCAGGAUAGCAGAGAGUUUAAUAUAUAAAGUAUUAUAGUAUUUUCACCACCACCGAGCUAUAAUCGGUUAGCAGGCCCCUAUUAAGCAAUCUUACAUAAGAUGGAAAGUUAUAUACCGAGCCUAUUGUGGCCGAGCGCCUAUGAGUAAGCCCAGAAUGGCCGAGACACAGAGCCUAGUAUGACCGAGUGCCUAUGUGCGAGCAUACUAAGGCAGAGCAGUUACACAUAUCGAGCCUUAGGGCCGGACAUCUAUUUUAAUUACUAUAUUGAGAGAGAUGAGUCAGUAUCAGGAGGUAAGCAUAUCUUCAAUAAUAUUCAACUCCCAGGUACAUUCAGUUGUUA